Molecule: ribosomal RNA, 251 nt
Filed under: uncultured prokaryote
Description: partial 16S rRNA
Rfam family: Bacterial small subunit ribosomal RNA
Source: RNAcentral
ACGUAGGGAGCGAGCGUUGUCCGGAAUUACUGGGCGUAAAGGGCGCGUAGGCGGGUAAUUAAGUCAGAUGUGAAAGCCCCGGGCUUAACUCGGGGAGUGCAUUUGAAACUAAUUAUCUUGAGGGCAGGAGAGGAAAGUGGAAUUCCUAGUGUAGCGUUGGAAUGCGUAUAUAUUAGGAGGAACACCAGAGGCGAGGGCGACUGUCGGGACCGUACCUGCGGCUGAGGCGCUUUAGCAUUUGGAGCACACAG